This 471-nucleotide ribosomal RNA is filed under the name Veillonella dispar. RNAcentral's name for it is "bacterial SSU rRNA". It matches the Rfam family "Bacterial small subunit ribosomal RNA", at positions 28 to 476 of the family's 1533-position model. Lineage: Bacteria; Bacillati; Bacillota; Negativicutes; Veillonellales; Veillonellaceae. The record is from RNAcentral.
GACGAACGCUGGCGGCGUGCUUAACACAUGCAAGUCGAACGAAGAGCGAUGGAAGCUUGCCUCUAUCAAUCUUAGUGGCGAACGGGUGAGUAACGCGUAAUCAACCUGCCCUUCAGAGGGGGACAACAGUUGGAAACGACUGCUAAUACCGCAUACGAUCUGACCUCGGCAUCGAGGAUAGAUGAAAGGUGGCCUCUAUUUAUAAGCUAUCACUGAAGGAGGGGAUUGCGUCUGAUUAGCUAGUUGGAGGGGUAACGGCCCACCAAGGCGAUGAUCAGUAGCCGGUCUGAGAGGAUGAACGGCCACAUUGGGACUGAGACACGGCUCAGACUCCUACGGGAGGCAGCAGUGGGGAAUCUUCCGCAAUGGACGAAAGUCUGACGGAGCAACGCCGCGUGAGUGAUGACGGCCUUCGGGUUGUAAAGCUCUGUUAAUCGGGACGAAAGGCCUUCUUGCGAAUAGUUAGAAGGA